This 205-nucleotide long non-coding RNA is filed under the name Medicago truncatula (barrel medic). RNAcentral's name for it is "long non-coding RNA (MTRU_LNC001716)". The record is from RNAcentral. Lineage: Eukaryota; Viridiplantae; Streptophyta; Magnoliopsida; Fabales; Fabaceae.
UUUCCACCGGCUUUUUGUUCAUGGUGUUGUGCACCUACCUCCUCUUCAUCACCACCAUCAUCAUCACCAUCAUCUUGUACCUGUGGGUUAGUACCAACAUAAAGCAAAUUUUCCACCACCUCCGGAUUAGUAAUGUCCGAAUUAGGUAGAAUAAUCAAACAAUUAGCUCUAAUGAUUCUCCAUUCAUAUUGGUAAUUGUGAGUAG